Molecule: long non-coding RNA, 150 nt
Organism: Salarias fasciatus (jewelled blenny)
Lineage: Eukaryota; Metazoa; Chordata; Actinopteri; Blenniiformes; Blenniidae
Exons: 3
Source: RefSeq, a predicted model, not a curated record
CGUGAGAUUUCAUCUUUCCGUACGAUCACGAUCAUAUUGAUAAAUGCCGAACCUGUCUUUCAUAUGGUCGUACGACGGGCGUACGCCCGUAUACCACCGUACGACCAUUUGAUAAAUGAGGGCCGCUGUCUUUACGGGAGGAGAGCACUU